CUCCUUCAGAACCUCAGCAUGAGUUGGGCAAGAGGCUGAUCCAGGAAACUUGAGCUCAUUCUCCAACCUCUUUGCAAACAAGAGCGUGUUCCUCGACUGCUCGACGUGGCAGUGCGCCGGGCUCAUCGUGCAGAUGAUGGCUGUCCUCGCGUUGCCUCCCAAAGACGACUGCAAUAUGCGAGUGAGCUUGGAGUCUCUGUAGGGGAUAUGGCCGUUUCUCCCUCCGCUGCAUCAAAAGCCAACUAGUUCGUCAGAGAGCUAGGGCUUGUACUUCGAGAAGUAUGGCUUGAAAUUCAACAAACCUGAGCUGGCGAAUGACCUUGCCCAGCGUAAGAAGACUCUUGUUGAUAUGACUGCCCUC
Aegilops tauschii subsp. strangulata is the source of this 361-nucleotide long non-coding RNA. RefSeq lists it as uncharacterized. The record is from RefSeq and is a predicted model, not a curated record. NCBI's taxonomy places the organism in Eukaryota, Viridiplantae, Streptophyta, Magnoliopsida, Poales, Poaceae.